CAACGAUGAGGAGUGAAAUCGGAGCCCGGUCGACUGUUUGGAGUGACUUUUGCAUCUUCAUUCGAUCACUCGCUUGUACUUGAUGCUGGAAGAAGGCAGCGAUGAAAGUUACAUAUGAUAUCCAUCUGGAAGGGUCAGAAAACCAAGGUGUGUACUAUCAGCAUCGAUCACAGACACUUUUGGAAAAGGUUCCUGCAUGCAUCGUGUUCUUUGACAUUCAGCUGUGGGGGACAAGAGACUUCAGUGAUUCCUGAAUGGGAUCUGGUGAAACCAAUGACCUCCAGUUCUCCACGGAAGGACCGUGUUCAUAGGAAGGGUCUUCCUUCAGCAGCUCCAAAGAGGCAUUGAGAAUUGGCAGGUUACUUUACCUGCCUGCUGCUCCUACUGGGAGAGACGGUGCCUGCUGAGAAAGUCUUCCCUGUUUUGGACGCAAAUCAACCUUCGUAGCUGCAGCCUCUACCCUGGAAGCUUUCCCCAACUUUAUGGAGAGCUGUUGGUACUGAAGCAAGAAAAGCUGGGCAAGGAGUCUGUGCAGAGUUGAGUCUGGACCAGCUCUCUAAGGAUCCCACAAAGGCUUUGGGCCAGCGCUCUACUCUCGAAAACGCACAUAGGUUCCAAAAGAACCUCCCUGAGCCCUGGCUGCUUCUAAUAAGUCAUUAUGGAAGAGAACGGACUGAGUGCACUCAGCCCAGCAGUCCGCAGACUCCCAGGAACACGGCUUAGAAGUUGUAAAGGCCUAGAUUUCAUUGGAGCUGGGGUCUACCUACUUUGCCACUGUGACCUUGGGCAAGUCACUCCGUUCUUGAAGCCUCCGUUUCCUCACUGGUCAAAUAAGAGCCAUGUAGUUACCUUGUAGAACUGUGGUCAGGAUGAGAGUAAAACACUUAAAUUGUUCCUUGCAUUCAUCUUUCAUUGAACAGCUGAAUAGAUUGUAGUCAUCGGACUCAAUAGCCAGAUACAUACUUCUUACCCUGGUUAAAAUCCAAAUCAUAAACACACUUUAUAUUUGUUUGAAAUCCAAGCCUCCAUGCUUUUCCAGGAUAUUUAAGGAAUAUUGGUCAAUUUUCUUGAUAAAAUUCAUUUUUAGUCUAAAAAAAAAAAUCAAAUAAAAUCAUGUUCUGACAUCCAGAACACCGGUGCAAUUAAUUAUACGACAAGUUGUUUUUUUUAAAAGGUUAAAGUUAAGAGUAAAAUAAAUCUAGCUUUACAAUAUAAAAUUGGAAGGGAAAAAUUGCUCUGAUUUUGGGACUUGGCCCCCUGGACAAAAUGAUGAAAGUGAUUUUUGAGAAAAUAAUUAAAUCAGGUUAUUGUUCUUUUACAUUCAAGCAAGAAAUCCUCUAGCAGAUCACGGUUAAUGGAGAUUAGUUAAAAAUAGACUUUAUUAGGUUUGUGUCUGGGUGACAGCAAUGAGUCGGCUGGUCACUCUGAGUGUGCCAACGACCGGAAGAAAAGAACUGGCCUUCUAGAUGUCUUACAGUAAAAGAACCAGGUUUUGGAGGUGGCUUCAAUACAGUCUUAAAAAUCAUCAUGUCCACACCGGAUUUUUUUUUUUCUAUGUAGUUACUGUAAGUUUAGAAGAGAAGUUUCUAGCUAUCUUAUGUCAAACUGAAUAAUACUUGCUUAUAUGUUAGUUGGAAUUUUUUUAAGGGGGAAAGGGUUUAUAUAAGUACUAAAAACUUUCUUCUCAAACUGAAAGAGAAAAUUGAAUCUAUAUGAAGGCAAAGGUACAAUUGGCCUCAUUUGUUCUUUUUCCAAAUGCUUUUCAUAGAUGGUUGACUAAGCAGUUCGUGGACACAUUGAUCCUCUUUCUACCUGUCUUCAAUUUUGUAUAUACUUUGUCUUUAAAAAUAAAGAUAUUAAAAUCAGUCUCACAUUCAGCUACUAGUUUCCAGUUUUUAGAUUUUGGUUGUUCAAUUGCAUAGUAACUAAGAUUAUCUUCUAGCUCUAAAGUUUUUUGAAGUUUCUUUUCUCAGGUUAAAAAAAAAAGGCACCGAAAUUGUUUGAAGAUUCAGCUUAAGUAUGGCAAAACCAAGCCAUAGGUGUAGAGAACUAUAAAUAUUAUCUGGAUGUAUUAGUUGAAUAACAUGGGUUAUUUAAAGAAAAAAGAGGGUGUGUUUUUAAGUACAUCAUUGUUAUAUUUUCUGAAAUAUCUGCCUAUAAUAAAAGGAACUUAAGAAUAUACUAUGAUUUUUACAUAGUCUGAUGGCAAUUGAUCAUGAGAUAUCCCUCAUAUUCCUCAUCUGUUUGCUCUUAUGUGUGUUUCUCCCAAUGAGUAGAAUAUUAAGUGAUAGAUUUAGUGUUCCAUGAAAAGCACUCUAAUAGAAAUCCAACUGCACAUUAGAAAUUAUUACAUAUAAAAAUUGCAAUACUUAGGUAGUUUAACAGCCUAAAAAUGAAAACAUAGGUCAUCAUAACUAGGUACAACCAUCAGGUCUAUGUCACAUUAGGGAAAAAAAAAAUCCCCUUAAGGACAGAUUAAUUAUUUUGCUAAAUUGCGAGAAUUUUCUGUUCUAAUUUGUGAAAACUUAAAAUCUAGAAUUGAUAUCAUGCAUGCUUUCAGAAAUUUAAAUAAUUUAUACACAGAUU
Molecule: long non-coding RNA, 2586 nt
Organism: Myotis myotis
Lineage: Eukaryota; Metazoa; Chordata; Mammalia; Chiroptera; Vespertilionidae
Exons: 6
Source: RefSeq, a predicted model, not a curated record